GAAAUUCCUAUACAAAUUAACAAAUUUUCUGCUAAUGUUGCUUUAAGCAGCAGCCUCUGGAAUGGCUCUAGGGCAGAACUGGUUGGUAUCUGAAGUGACAGCACAAAACUCUUCCCACAAUCCUGCUUUCCUGCCCUUUGCAGCAUUUCCCUGAUGGCGGUAAAGGUGCUUGUGCCGUGUCCCUUUCCAGGCAGGAAGGAGCCAGACCAGCCGUGUUCCCGUGCAGUGCCAGCGCUGUCCCGCCGGCAGAGGGGCGUUUCCUGCAGGUGAGCGCUCCCAGCCCGGAGUCCCGCUGGGGCUGAGCCCGGGGCUGCUCGGAGCCCUGGGGACUCCUGCUCCCUGCCAGGAACGGUCCCGGUGCUCCCUCGGUGUGUCCCAGCGGGAACGCGGGGCGGGAGGAGGAGCCCCGGGCGGGGCCCGGCCCCUCUCUCCUCGGUGGCACCGGGAGGAGCUGUGCCCCAGGCUCUGCCCGCGGCGGGCAGCGUGCCAGGCGCGUCCCGGGACGGGCGCCGGGAUGCCCGGGCAGCGCCGGGAUGGACACGGAUCCAGGGCUGCCCGCGGCUCUCGGCCAGGGGCUGCUCUGAACGGGCCCCGGAGAUGCUGCAGCCCGGGCAGAGCCCGCUGACAUCCCAAAACCACCCGAGGAACGGCUGGCAGGGCCGGGAGCGCCGGCACGUGGGGGCUGCAGAGGAGCUCCGACAGCAAUUCCCGGUGCCCGCCCCCUGGAGCUGCCACACGGCCACCAGAAAUUCCAUCCCGAGCAGUGCCCUCGAGAUGCCUUAAAAUGCAAGGUUGGCGUUAGGUGAAGUUUUGUUUGGAUGAAGUUUGGAGUUUUCCAGGGAGCCAGCUGGAGCUGCAGAACGGAUGGGAAGCUCCCACAGUGAGAAGAACAUGAACUCACAACCACCAAGGCCUGGCAGUUCCCUGCAGCGAGAGCUCAGUGCACAUCCAGGAGGCAAUUCCAGCAUCUGAAAGGAAGAGAGCAAGAAGAAAAGGGUGAUUUCUUUUGUUUCAAAGCUAUUUCAAGUUCUCAGACCCAAACCAACCUUUGCCCUUGAUUUUAGCCGGGUGAAUCCUGAGCAGUGGGCACAGGUCCUGUCACUCAUGCUGAGGGGAGUGAUGCUUUCUGGGGAAAUGAGCUGAUUUCCAAAGUUCACUGCCUGCCCCCUGCCUGGUUUGCACAGGAGAAAACCUCACCCAUGAAGGGAUUUUGCUCCAUCCAAUCCCAUCUGCCCAGGCUGUUCCUGAGGAUGGUGCCAGGCUGGGGCAGCACAGGCAGAUGCAGCUCUCAGCUCUCUGCUCCAAACACAGCUCUGGGCUCCCCUGCAAACUCCUCUGCCAUGAGGUUUUCUCCAGCAGAAAUCAAGGAAUGGCUCACAGCAGCUGGAGGUUAUCACAGAGGGAAGUAAAGGAUAAAUAUUCCUGUAAGAGCCUUUGGGAGCUGCUGGGCUGAAUGGGGAAGGGGACAUUCACUCCCUGCAGGGCAAAUGCACAACAGCCUCCAACACAAAGCCAGACUGCCAGGAGGGGUCUGAAAGCACCACUUGGACAAACCCCACUGUCAUUCUUCCUUCCAGGGACUUCUGCAAUCAAAGCCUGAAGCUGAGGAGCCCAAAAGCUCUGGAGUCUGCUCUGGAACAAAAGGAUACUCCAGGGGUGAGGCCCAUUCCCAGCAAACACUCCCAGCACAGCAGAGGCACCACUGGAGCUCGGGCUGGGGCUGGGAAGGGCUGCAGGAGGACACAGCCCCCAGGGGGUGGCAGUGGCAGUGACACAGCAAAUUCCCACAGUCUGAUGGCAGCACAGGGAGACCAAGGCCAGCAAUGGCCACGGGAGCUGCAGGUUUGAUUCUGCUCCCUGCGCUGCCCCAUCCCAGCAGGAAAUCCCCAGGGAGACAGAAACUCCCAGGGUGCACAAAAUGCAGCAUCUGUGCCCUGCUCCUGCUGCACCUCAGCGUGGGGGGCCAGCCCCAGGGCAAACACUGAGCUGCCCUGGAGCAGCCCCAGACACUGCCCCAGCUCUCAGCUCCCCCUGCCCCGGGGCUGCCCCACAUUCCUGACAAGGAGCCCCAGGCCCUUGGGACAGGGCUCUCUCUGUCUCAGGUGCUGGGGGCUGCAGGGACCAGGGCAAGGACAGCCUGAGCCCAGGGCAGAUCCCUCUGGGUUUGUGACACUCUGGGCACAGCUGGGGACUCACCUCACACCCUGGGCAGGACCAGGGGCCCUCCAGUGCAGCUGGAGCCCGUUGGGUUUGGCUGCUCAAACACCAAAGCUGGGCAAAGGUGGGAUGAGUUAAGUGGUUUUUCCUGUCCUGAAAGAGAGGAGAAAAUGGAAAUCAGGUCCACUCUGGAAGUCAAAGGCCCCUGGCUUUCCUACUUCUGUUCU
This is a long non-coding RNA of Passer domesticus (house sparrow), 2384 nucleotides long. RefSeq lists it as uncharacterized. The record is from RefSeq and is a predicted model, not a curated record. The transcript has 3 exons. NCBI's taxonomy places the organism in Eukaryota, Metazoa, Chordata, Aves, Passeriformes, Passeridae.